CCUACGGGGGGAGCAGUGGGGAAUAUUGGACAAUGGGGGCAACCCUGAUCCAGCCAUGCCGCGUGUGUGAAGAAGGCCCUCGGGUUGUAAAGCACUUUCAGUGAGGAAGAACGCCUGGUGGUUAAUACCCAUCAGGAAAGACAUCACUCACAGAAGAAGCACCGGCUAACUCCGUGCCAGCAGCCGCGGUAAUACGGAGGGUGCGAGCGUUAAUCGGAAUUACUGGGCGUAAAGCGCGCGUAGGUGGCUUGAUAAGCCGGUUGUGAAAGCCCCGGGCUCAACCUGGGAACGGCAUCCGGAACUGUCAAGCUAGAGUGCAGGAGAGGAAGGUAGAAUUCCCGGUGUAGCGGUGAAAUGCGUAGAGAUCGGGAGGAAUACCAGUGGCGAAGGCGGCCUUCUGGACUGACACUGACACUGAGGUGCGAAAGCGUGGGUAGCAAACAGGAUUAGAUACCCUUGUAGUC
This 464-nucleotide ribosomal RNA is filed under the name Vreelandella stevensii. RNAcentral describes it as "partial 16S ribosomal RNA". It matches the Rfam family "Bacterial small subunit ribosomal RNA", at positions 338 to 795 of the family's 1533-position model. The record is from RNAcentral. Lineage: Bacteria; Pseudomonadati; Pseudomonadota; Gammaproteobacteria; Oceanospirillales; Halomonadaceae.